Molecule: ribosomal RNA, 498 nt
Filed under: uncultured bacterium
Lineage: Bacteria
Description: partial 16S ribosomal RNA
Rfam family: Bacterial small subunit ribosomal RNA
Source: RNAcentral
AUUGAACGCUGGCGGCAUGCCUUACACAUGCAAGUCGAACGGUAACAGGUCUUCGGAUGCUGACGAGUGGCGAACGGAUGAGUAAUACAUCGGAACGUGCCCGAUCGUGGGGGAUAACGGAGCGAAAGCUUUGCUAAUACCGCAUACGAUCUACGGAUGAAAGCAGGGGACCGCAAGGCCUUGCGCGGACGGAGCGGCCGAUGGCAGAUUAGGUAGUUGGUGGGAUAAAAGCUUACCAAGCCGACGAUCUGUAGCUGGUCUGAGGGGACGACCAGCAACACUGGGACUGAGACACGGCCCAGACUCCUACGGGAGGCAGCAGUGGGGAAUUUUGGACAAUGGGCGAAAGCCUGAUCCAGCCAUGCCGCGUGCAGGAUGAAGGCCUUCGGGUUGUAAACUGCUUUUGUACGGAACGAAAAGACUCUUUCUAAUAAAGAGGGUCCAUGACGGUACCGUAAGAAUAAGCACCGGCUAACUACGUGCCAGCCGCCGCAGUAA